ACAUCGGUAGUACAGUGGUUAGUGCAGUCUGCCGGAAAACAGAAAGACGCGGGUUCAAUUCCCGUCCGAUGUC
RNAcentral lists this transfer RNA (73 nucleotides) under Nippostrongylus brasiliensis. It matches the Rfam family "tRNA". From Rfam's summary of the family: Transfer RNA (tRNA) molecules are approximately 80 nucleotides in length. Their secondary structure includes four short double-helical elements and three loops (D, anti-codon, and T loops). Further hydrogen bonds mediate the characteristic L-shaped molecular structure. tRNAs have two regions of fundamental functional importance: the anti-codon, which is responsible for specific mRNA codon recognition, and the 3' end, to which the tRNAs corresponding amino acid is attached (by aminoacyl-tRNA synthetases). tRNAs cope with the degeneracy of the genetic code in two manners: having more than one tRNA (with a specific anti-codon) for a particular amino acid; and 'wobble' base-pairing, i.e. permitting non-standard base-pairing at the 3rd anti-codon position. Lineage: Eukaryota; Metazoa; Nematoda; Chromadorea; Rhabditida; Heligmosomidae. The record is from Rfam by way of RNAcentral.